UAUAAAAUAUAACAGUGAUGUCCGAUUUACGGCCUGCGGGCCACAUCCGGGCAGUGACGCGAUGCUAUGCGCCCAAGAUCUGCCCACAGUGUAUUAAGAAGCCAAUGAGACACAGUCCCAUUGGUCUUGGCGAUUUCUUUUUUUUUUUUUCGGCCUGUGACAAGCGUGCCGGAAAUCGAUAUGAACCCAAGAUUUAAAAUGUUUGAGCAUCACUGACAUACAAAACUAAAUCCAAGACGAGGCAGGGGGAAUACUACACAACAACACGGACUGUUUUGAGCUUUGCAGGUACUGCUGUGGACUGUGCAGUUCUGCCCAGUAGUUCAGCAUUGGUGCCUUCUUCUGAAACAAUAUCUCAGAGGCGUCACUUCGAAGAAGAAAAUAACUACAUUCUACACACCCAUGUGUCAAUCUAGCCGUGAGUGUUAAAGUCAUUGGUUCUCCUGUCUAAUUAUGGCAACCUGUUCCAUGCUCUAAAUGCGUUAAGAAAGAAGAGUGCUUGUAAGAAUAUGCCCAAGCAUAUUGAGGAAAUGCUCAUUUCUAAGCUCCUUUUGAGGCUGUACGUUGAGAUUCGUCUACACAUUUCAGAUUGGUUUUACAAUAUCGCUAACUACAGUUUACAAAUGGAAGUAUACACUACAGAAGAUAUUGGACAUGCGAUUUCUUUAAACUUAAAUCUGUUAAGAGAAUAGUGUAUACAUUAACUAUUAAACAGAAAAAAGCGGAUAUCGCCAAAGUUA
Long non-coding RNA from Biomphalaria glabrata, 740 nucleotides. RefSeq lists it as uncharacterized. The record is from RefSeq and is a predicted model, not a curated record. The transcript is spliced from 4 exons. NCBI's taxonomy places the organism in Eukaryota, Metazoa, Mollusca, Gastropoda, Planorbidae.